GAUGGAUCCUGAUGAGAUCGAAGAGGAACAGCGGGAGAGGGAGAGGAAAAACAGAACGAACAUGGAUUUCCAGAACUUUGUCAACAAGGUGCACGACAUUUGGUCGCAGCCACAGUUCAAAGGUCUGGAACUGGAGUUUGAUCAGCCUCUUCGUGAGCUUGGGUUCCAUGGAGUUCCUCACAAGUCUUCAGCUUUCAUCGUCCCGACUUCCUCCUGUCUGGUUGAAUUGAUUGAGCUACCUUUUGUGGUUAUCACAUUGGGCGAGAUUGAGAUUGUCAAUCUGGAGAGGGUAGGCCUUGGACAGAAAAACUUUGAUAUGGCCAUCGUGUUUAAAGACUUUAAAAGAGACG
This 350-nucleotide unclassified non-coding RNA is filed under the name Hevea brasiliensis (rubber tree). Lineage: Eukaryota; Viridiplantae; Streptophyta; Magnoliopsida; Malpighiales; Euphorbiaceae. The record is from RNAcentral.